UUUGUGUGUGUAUGUGUGUGUAUGUGUAUAUAUAUAUAUAUAUAUACACACACACACACACACACAUACAUA
This is a non-coding RNA of Podarcis lilfordi (Lilford's wall lizard), 72 nucleotides long. The record is from the annotation of a GenBank genome assembly. NCBI's taxonomy places the organism in Eukaryota, Metazoa, Chordata, Lepidosauria, Squamata, Lacertidae.